GACGAACGCUGGCGGCGUGCUUAACACAUGCAAGUCGAACGGAAAGGCCCUGCUUGCAGGGUACUCGAGUGGCGAACGGGUGAGUAACACGUGGGUGAUCUGCCCUGCACUUCGGGAUAAGCCUGGGAAACUGGGUCUAAUACCGGAUAGGAGCCAUUUUUAGUGUGAUGGUUGGAAAGUUUUUUCGGUGUAGGAUGAGCUCGCGGCCUAUCAGCUUGUUGGUGGGGUAAUGGCCUACCAAGGCGGCGACGGGUAGCCGGCCUGAGAGGGUGGACGGCCACAUUGGGACUGAGAUACGGCCCAGACUCCUACGGGAGGCAGCAGUGGGGAAUAUUGCACAAUGGGCGUAAGCCUGAUGCAGCGACGCCGCGUGGGGGAUGACGGCCUUCGGGUUGUAAACUCCUUUCGCUAGGGACGAAGCUUUUUGUGACGGUACCUAGAUAAGAAGCACCGGCUAACUACGUG
This 465-nucleotide ribosomal RNA is filed under the name uncultured bacterium. RNAcentral describes it as "partial 16S ribosomal RNA". It matches the Rfam family "Bacterial small subunit ribosomal RNA", at positions 28 to 507 of the family's 1533-position model. The record is from RNAcentral.